Long non-coding RNA from Brassica oleracea var. oleracea, 659 nucleotides. RefSeq lists it as uncharacterized. The record is from RefSeq and is a predicted model, not a curated record. The transcript is spliced from 2 exons. NCBI's taxonomy places the organism in Eukaryota, Viridiplantae, Streptophyta, Magnoliopsida, Brassicales, Brassicaceae.
GGGCACAUACCGUCGAUGGAAGAAUAUCUUCGAAACGGAAUAAUCUCAACCGCAGCACACACCAUUGUUCUUCCCAUUUCAUAUCUCAUGGAAUCUUGUUUUCCUCAACACAAACUCAAACCCGGAAAUUAUGAUAACAUAACAACAUUGCUCAUGACCAUUACCCGACUCCUUAAUGAUCUACAGAGUUACCAGAAAGAGCGAGAACAAGGAAAGAUCAACUCCGUGCUGCUCAACAUGAGGAGUCAUUGUAGUUUUAAGAUAGAGGACUCGAUUGCUUAUAUUGAAAAGAUCAUUGAAUCGAAGAGGAGAGAAUUUGUGGAGUGUGUCCUAAUGGAUGAACUCAGUGAUUUGCCUAAACCGUGCAAAGAUAUACACAUGUCUUUUUGCAAAGUUUUUUAUAUGUUUUUUAACAAGAAGAAUCGUUAUGAUUCGGACACGGAGAUGCUUCAAGACAUUAAGAAGGCUCUUUACGAUCCCGUUAACAUUCGUAGACUCUCCUAGCUUGAUCCAGCGAUCUAGAGAAUUCUGCACUAUAAAUUUAUGUAUGCGUUAUUUGAUCAAAAAAAAAAAAAAAUUAUGUAUGCGUUGUUGAAUAAUCAUCCUCAUGUGGCAUUUAAGAUCUUUUUACUUGACACAAUGAAAUUAUUUUAAGGCUC